Molecule: ribosomal RNA, 254 nt
Filed under: uncultured bacterium
Lineage: Bacteria
Description: partial 16S ribosomal RNA
Rfam family: Bacterial small subunit ribosomal RNA
Source: RNAcentral
UACGAAGGGGACUAGCGUUGUUCGGAAUCACUGGGCGUAAAGCGCACGUAGGCGGAUAUGUCAGUCAGGGGUGAAAUCCCGGGGCUUAACCUCGGAACUGCCUUUGAUACAGCAUAUCUUGAGUCCGAUAGAGGUGGGUGGAAUUCCUAGUGUAGAGGUGAAAAUUCGUAGAUAUUAGGAAGAACACCGGUGGCGAAGGCGGCCCACUGGAUCGGUACUGACGCUGAGGUGCGAAAGCGUGGGGAGCAAACAGG